GGCUUCUUUCCAACGCUCUAACAGCCAUGACAAAGUGAGGAAAAUAGUUGCAGAAGAGGGACGUACAGCAAGGAACCUAAUUGCAUGGAGCGUUCCACUGGAAAACAAAGAUGAUGAGGGAAAAUCGAAAUGGCAAGCUGGUGGAAAAACAAAGAGAGUGACUCAAGGAACACACAAGACUGCAAAACAGAACACUACCAUAGACUGUAAAUUAACAGCAGCAGCAGCUGGAGAUAAAAACUUUGACAAAAGCCCAACAAAAACAAGGCAGCCUCGCAAAGUUGAUCUGCGAGCUCGAUACUGGGCAUUUCUUUUUGACAAUCUGAGACGGGCUGUUGAUGAGAUCUAUGUUACAUGUGAAUCGGAUCAGAGCGUGGUAGAAUGCAAGGUAAGUCUUCA
Molecule: long non-coding RNA, 399 nt
Organism: Merops nubicus (carmine bee-eater)
Lineage: Eukaryota; Metazoa; Chordata; Aves; Coraciiformes; Meropidae
Exons: 3
Source: RefSeq, a predicted model, not a curated record